GUAGGUGAACCUGCGGAAGGAUCAUUGACAAAAUCUUUUAUAAAUCUUUGUGAAUCGAGAGUGUAACAGCUUUCAUAUCAACAUUUAAUUUAAGCCUGAUUUCUUUAAAAAAGUAAUUAAAACAACUUUUAACAAUGGAUCUCUUGGCUCUU
RNAcentral lists this unclassified non-coding RNA (152 nucleotides) under rhizosphere metagenome. Its description in RNAcentral is "partial ribosomal RNA internal transcribed spacer region". The record is from RNAcentral.